CGGCAGCGCGGUCUUCGGACUGGCGGCGAGCGGCGGACGGCUGAGUAACGCGUGGGAACAUGCCCCAAAGUGAGGGAUAAGCACCGGAAACGGUGUCUAAUACCGCAUAAUGUCUUCGGACUAAAGGAUUUAUCCGCUUUGGGAGUGGCCCGCGUUCGAUUAGGUUGUUGGUGAGGUAAUGGCUCACCAAGCCCACGAUCGAUAACUGGUCUGAGAGGAUGAUCAGUCAGACUGGAACUGAGAUACGGUCCAGACUCCUACGGGAGGCAGCAGUGAGGAAUCUUCCACAAUGGGCGAAAGCCUGAUGGAGCAACGCCGCGUGCAGGAUGAAGGCCUUCGGGUCGUAAACUGCUUUUAUGAGUGAAGAAUAUGACGGUAACUCAUGAAUAAGCACCGGCUAACUACGUGCCAGCAGCCGCGGUCAUACGUAGGGUGCAAGCAUUAUCCGGAGUGACUGGGCGUAAAGAGUUGCGUAGGUGGUUUAUUAAGUGAAUGGUGAAAUCCGACGGCUCAACCGUACGGACUAUUAUUCAAACUGAUAAACUCGAGAAUGGUAGAGGUAACUGGAAUUUCUUGUGUAGGAGUGAAAUCCGUAGAUAUAAGAAGGAACACCAAUGGCGUAGGCAGGUUACUGGACCAUUUCUGACACUGAGGCACGAAAGCGUGGGGAGCGAACCGGAUUAGAUACCCGGGUAGUCCAUGCCGUAAACUAUGGAUACUAGCUGUUGGAGGUAUCGACCCCUUCAGUAGCGAAGCUAACGCGUUAAGUAUCCCGCCUGUGGAGUACGAUCGCAAGAUUAAAACAUAAAGGAAUUGACGGGGACCCGCACAAGCGGUGGAGCGUGUUCUUUAAUUCGAUGUUA
Molecule: ribosomal RNA, 863 nt
Filed under: uncultured bacterium
Lineage: Bacteria
Description: bacterial SSU rRNA
Rfam family: Bacterial small subunit ribosomal RNA
Source: RNAcentral